AAAAGACACGGAUGAAGAAAGACGGGGAGGGCAUCGUUUUUAUUUCCUCACAUUGAAGUUUGGUGAUGGUAAAAAAUUAGCUCAAACUGAGAGUGAAAAUCUUCAAAGUCUACUGGGGAAAACUGAGAGAUGGCUCCCCUGAUCCUCGCGGCAAGAGAUGAAGGUGGCUGUGAUGGCAGAGAUGGAGAGAAGUGGAAGAGUUCACAGAGAUUCACUGACCUUGAUGACAGGCAAAGUGAGGCCAAGGGAAGAAUAUUGUUUCCAUAAUGUAACCAAAGAGCAGUCAACAAAGACAGGAGCAAGGCCUUGGUCUCCGGUGAGUAUGUAAGUGAAUUUAAAUGAGGUCGUCUUGUUACACUAAAUGGCCCCAGCCCCUCCUCUGUGUGACUGCUUGCUGCUCUGCACGUACUCUAAAAUAAUUCACGUUUUCCUCAUUUUUGGCCUCCACUUAUGCACGUGCUCCUCCGUAGCUUGAUAAAUUAAAACUUUGUUCUAUGAGUUUCUAUCCAGGAACAGGCUGACCACGGUGGGAAACACACCUACAAAGUAUCCAUCACAGCUGACAGAAGAAUGGAACCAUGUGAUACCUGGAGCCCAUCAUGCGGGAAGACUAACAUCCCUGGAACACUCCCUCACUGCCCAUUUUUCCUAUAUAGCUACCUCAAGAGUCUGUAAAUUUUUUGUGUGUGUGUGAGGAAGAUUGGCCCUGAGCUAACAUCGGUGCCAAUCUUCCUCUAUUUUGUAUGUGGGAUGCUGCCACAGCAUGGCUUGAAGAGCACUGUGUAUGUCCACACCCAGGAUCCAAACCUAUGAACCCUGGGCUGUUGAAGUGGAGUGUGUGAACUUAACCAUGACACCAGUGGGCUGGCCCCAAGAUUCUGCAAUUUUUGAAGACUUUGAGAUAGUAGUCUACUGUCUUCCUGACUAUGCUGGCUAAUUGAAUUAAAACUUCCUUUCUGGAUCCCUAA
Molecule: non-coding RNA, 968 nt
Organism: Equus caballus (horse)
Lineage: Eukaryota; Metazoa; Chordata; Mammalia; Perissodactyla; Equidae
Source: RefSeq, a predicted model, not a curated record